CCCUUAGAUGUUCUGGGCCGCACGCGCGCUACACUGACGAAUGCAACGAGCUUAUAACCUUGGCCGAAAGGUCUGGGUAAUCUCCAAAUUUCGUCGUGAUGGGGAUAGAUUAUUGCAAUUAUUAAUCUUCAACGAGGAAUGCCUAGUAAGCGCAAGUCAUCAGCUUGCGUUGAUUACGUCCCUGCCCUUUGUACACACCGCCCGUCGCUCCUACCGAUUGAAUGGUCCGGUGAAGCGUUCGGACCGUGGCCUUUGGACGGUUCGCCGGCUGUUGGCUGCGGGAAGUUCGUUAAACCUUAUCAUUUAGAGGAAGGAGAANUCGUANCA
RNAcentral lists this ribosomal RNA (327 nucleotides) under uncultured eukaryote. RNAcentral's name for it is "partial 18S ribosomal RNA". It matches the Rfam family "Eukaryotic small subunit ribosomal RNA", at positions 1470 to 1796 of the family's 1831-position model. The record is from RNAcentral.